AGUGAACGCUGGCGGUAGGCCUAACACAUGCCAGUCGAACGGCAGCACAGUAAGAGCUUGCUCUUACGGGUGGCGAGUGGCGGACGGGUGAGGAAUACAUCGGAAUCUACUUUUUCGUGGGGGAUAACGUAGGGAAACUUACGCUAAUACCGCAUACGACCUACGGGUGAAAGCAGGGGAUCUUCGGACCUUGCGCGAUUGAAUGAGCCGAUGUCGGAUUAGCUAGUUGGCGGGGUAAAGGCCCACCAAGGCGACGAUCCGUAGCUGGUCUGAGAGGAUGAUCGGCCACACUGGAACUGAGACACGGUCCAGACUCCUACGGGAGGCAGCAGUGGGGAAUAUUGGGCAAUGGGCGCAAGCCUGAUCCAGCCAUACCGCGUGAGUGAAGAAGGCCUUCGGGUUGUAAAGCCCUUUUGUUGGGAAAGAAAAGCAGCAGGUUAAUACCCCGCUGUUCUGACGGUACCCAAAGAAUAAGCACCGGCUAACUUCGUG
RNAcentral lists this ribosomal RNA (492 nucleotides) under uncultured bacterium. Its description in RNAcentral is "partial 16S ribosomal RNA". It matches the Rfam family "Bacterial small subunit ribosomal RNA", at positions 29 to 507 of the family's 1533-position model. The record is from RNAcentral.